RNAcentral lists this ribosomal RNA (253 nucleotides) under uncultured microorganism. Its description in RNAcentral is "partial 16S ribosomal RNA". It matches the Rfam family "Bacterial small subunit ribosomal RNA", at positions 524 to 776 of the family's 1533-position model. The record is from RNAcentral.
UACGUAGGGUGCGAGCGUUAAUCGGAUUUACUGGGCGUAAAGCGUGCGCAGGCGGCCCGUUAAGACAGGUGUGAAAUCCCUGGGCUCAACCUAGGAAUUGCGCUUGUGACUGGCGGGCUUGAGUACGGUAGAGGGGGGUGGAAUUCCUGGUGUAGCAGUGAAAUGCGUAGAGAUCAGGAGGAACACCGAUGGCGAAGGCAGCCCCCUGGGCCUGUACUGACGCUCAUGCACGAAAGCGUGGGGAGCAAACAGG